Long non-coding RNA from Meriones unguiculatus (Mongolian gerbil), 463 nucleotides. RefSeq lists it as uncharacterized. The record is from RefSeq and is a predicted model, not a curated record. The transcript has 2 exons. Lineage: Eukaryota; Metazoa; Chordata; Mammalia; Rodentia; Muridae.
GUACUUGGCGGCUCUAAUUAGGUGAUCACACAUCCUUUCCUCUUCUCUUUUGUCUGCAGAGUACUGAGCACACAAGGACUGAAACAGGAAGAGAGAAAGCUCUGUCAGGCACACACACGUGUUAAGGGAAGGAGCAGCACACGUGUAUCUGUGUCUGAAGGCUGACUGGAGGUAGCACAGAGACCCUCCCUAAAGCUCAACUGACACUGGAACUUUGGGCCCAGGAGAUAAAGGGGGCUCUGAAGUUGUCCUUCAGGCCGGUGUCAGGCGGAACACUGCACUUCCCGUCACCUCUGCUUUUCUGCAAAAUGCCACACAGAGUGAAAAUGCGUCAUCACAGUGGCGUAAGGGCAUCUGAAUGUAAACCAGAGGAGUGGCCUGAAAGCCAAAUAAUUCAAUCUGAACUUGACUAUUGGAGAAACAACACAUUUGUUACUUUGGAAAUAAUAAAAAAUAAAAUAAA